CAAACCGGGAGAUAGCUGGUUCUCCCCGAAAGCUAUUUAGGUAGCGCCUCGUGAAUUCAUCUCCGGGGGUAGAGCACUGUUUCGGCUAGGGGGCCAUCCCGGCUUACCAACCCGAUGCAAACUGCGAAUACCGGAGAAUGUUAUCACGGGAGACACACGGCGGGUGCUAACGUCCGUCGUGAAGAGGGAAACAACCCAGACCGCCAGCUAAGGUCCCAAAGUCAUGGUUAAGUGGGAAACGAUGUGGGAAGGCCCAGACAGCCAGGAUGUUGGCUUAGAAGCAGCCAUCAUUUAAAGAAAGCGUAAUAGCUCACUGGUCGAGUCGGCCUGCGCGGAAGAUGUAACGGGGCUAAACCAUGCACCGAAGCUGCGGCAGCGACACUGUGUGUUGUUGGGUAGGGGAGCGUUCUGUAAGCCUGCGAAGGUGUCCCGUGAGGGAUGCUGGAGGUAUCAGAAGUGCGAAUGCUGACAUAAGUAACGAUAAAGCGGGUGAAAAGCCCGCUCGCCGGAAGACCAAGGGUUCCUGUCCAACGUUAAUCGGGGCAGGGUGAGUCGACCCCUAAGGCGAGGCCGAAAGGCGUAGUCGAUGGGAAACGGGUUAAUAUUCCCGUACUUGGUGUUACUGCGAAGGGGGGACGGAGAAGGCUAUGUUGGCCGGGCGACGGUUGUCCCGGUUUAAGCGUGUAGGUGUGUGUUCCAGGUAAAUCCGGUUCACUUUAACACUGAGGCGUGACGACGAGGCACUACGGUGCUGAAGCAACAAAUGCCCUGCUUCCAGGAAAAGCCUCUAAGCAUCAGGUAACAUCAAAUCGUACCCCAAACCGACACAGGUGGUCAGGUAGAGAAUACCAAGGCGCUUGAGAGAACUCGGGUGAAGGAACUAGGCAAAAUGGUGCCGUAACUUCGGGAGAAGGCACGCUGACACGUAGGUGAAGUGAUUUACUCAUGGAGCUGAAGUCAGUCGAAGAUACCAGCUGGCUGCAACUGUUUAUUAAAAACACAGCACUGUGCAAACACGAAAGUGGACGUAUACGGUGUGACGCCUGCCCGGUGCCGGAAGGUUAAUUGAUGGGGUCAGCGCAAGCGAAGCUCCUGAUCGAAGCCCCGGUAAACGGCGGCCGUAACUAUAACGGUCCUAAGGUAGCGAAAUUCCUUGUCGGGUAAGUUCCGACCUGCACGAAUGGCGUAAUGAUGGCCAGGCUGUCUCCACCCGAGACUCAGUGAAAUUGAACUCGCUGUGAAGAUGCAGUGUACCCGCGGCAAGACGGAAAGACCCCGUGAACCUUUACUAUAGCUUGACACUGAACAUUGAGCCUUGAUGUGUAGGAUAGGUGGGAGGCUUUGAAGUGUGGACGCCAGUCUGCAUGGAGCCGACCUUGAAAUACCACCCUUUAAUGUUUGAUGUUCUAACGUGGACCCGUAA
This 1423-nucleotide ribosomal RNA is filed under the name Salmonella enterica subsp. enterica serovar Kentucky. RNAcentral describes it as "partial 23S ribosomal RNA". It matches the Rfam family "Bacterial large subunit ribosomal RNA", at positions 834 to 2238 of the family's 2925-position model. The record is from RNAcentral. Lineage: Bacteria; Pseudomonadati; Pseudomonadota; Gammaproteobacteria; Enterobacterales; Enterobacteriaceae.